RNAcentral lists this ribosomal RNA (423 nucleotides) under Marinussaurus curupira. RNAcentral's name for it is "partial 18S ribosomal RNA". The record is from RNAcentral. Lineage: Eukaryota; Metazoa; Chordata; Lepidosauria; Squamata; Gymnophthalmidae.
GGUCAUCGUAUACGAACAGAGUUUCUAAUUCGGUACGUACAGAUUCAUGUGUGCCCGCAAUGUCACUUUGACGCUUACCGAGUAAUUUAGUCAAUACCAAGGAAACCAGCGAGGUUGGCAAUGAACCUAUUGACACCAUUAAGAUCUCGAUUAUGUACGGUUGCUCGCGACUGGAGGCCCCUACGCACGUAAAUAGUCUGGUUUUGGUUGGGCCCGAGCGGGGCCGGCGAAACCACUGAGAUCUAUUGGAGCCCGGCUAGCGUGCGGGGGCACCGCCGCUGCUGCGUAAGCUUACAGACGGGAUAGUUGAAAGCUACCAUGAAAGACACGGAUGGUACCACUGGUGCCCAUUGCCCCUUAGUCCCAAGCUAAGGCCUCUCCCUCGGACUCUUUGCCGAUGGUGUAGGUUCCUUCCGUCGUCCG